Molecule: long non-coding RNA, 315 nt
Organism: Gossypium arboreum
Lineage: Eukaryota; Viridiplantae; Streptophyta; Magnoliopsida; Malvales; Malvaceae
Exons: 2
Source: RefSeq, a predicted model, not a curated record
GGUUUUUGAAAAAAAGAAAAGGGGAAGGGUUUUGGUGCUCUGGGCUAGACGAUUUUCGGCGAUCUGACCACCGUCCGUCCGUCACCGGCGACCACCAUAUACGACGGUUGAAAGUGUAAAAUCGACCCCUUUUAACCCUUUUGCUCCCCUCGCCCUAGAUCCAUGGUUAAAAUACCCAAAAACCUCACGAAAGCCGAUAGAAAUUAAGGAAAACUCUCGGUUUUAAACUCUCCAAUCGCCCAAACAAGGAGCAGUUGGCGGUGGAGUAGGUGGUGCUGCAGGUGGUGACAGAGGGCAGUUGGCCAUAGGGGCGGC